AACUAGCAUGAUCUCCUUCAUAUAUGCCCAUCGCACUCCACCCUUUUUCAUUGUAAUAUUGCAUUUACUACCACACUUGACAGCCUCUUUUGCCCCCACUCCCUCUCUCAAAACAUGAGGGAAAGAGAGAAGGGGCUUUCAAAGGUGAAAGAAAGGCACAAGUUUCUGCAAGGUAUGGAGUAGUUAGUGAUGAAUAAUGUCAAAAGCUCAUGGCUUUUGGUGUUACUCGAAGUCAACACUAUCUAUAUGGUUUAUGUAUUGGUUCUUGUCUCGAUAUAUAUUCAUAUAAUUAUAUUUGAAAGAAAGAUGAGAAUAUUCUUUAUGCUCUUAGAUUUAUAAUCUCAGGCAUGGUGGUUAGAGGAGGAUCGACUAGGUCUUCUGAUUAUUUGUUUACUAUCUUGAUUUCAUGUGUAAUAAUUGAUAUAAUUUCUUGUAUAUGCUAUGAUUCUCAUACAGGUAACCUGUAUAAGGGUAUGAACAAAGCCAUCAUGUGUUACACUACAAGCCAGGAAGGAAGCCUAGUAGAUGGAUUCUUUGCUGGCUUUCAAAAGGCGGUUUCUUCAUGUUAAGUGGCCGGUGCUAUCCUACCUGAGCUUUUUCUAUUAUCUCUUCGUUUUUUUUUUUGUUUUUUUUUCUUGACCUUGUAAGACCUUUUCUUGACCUUGUAAGACCCCAUUUUUUGUUCUUUGUUUCUAUUUUUUGUAUUAUCAUCAACUUUACAUCAAAAUGUCUUGAUGUAGAGUUUUGACUAAUUUUUUCCCCGUUUCCGUCCAACUCAUCUUCUCCUUCCUUGUCUAUCCCUCCUGAGCUAUGAGCUGUUUGAAUUAGACUAAAUAACAUUUCCCUUCAAAAUCACCCAAUCAAGUACAAAUCAAAAACCUCUCGAAGUUCAUGCAAGCGAUGGAGCCUUACUUGCCAUGUGGGGUUUACGUUUUCUUACAUGUGAACUAUUGGAGGAAGAAAUCAACAAGUUUGAGCUAAGUGUUCAUUGAGGAGCUAGGUAAGAGCUUUAAAGAGUACUUGAAUCGCUUGUAAAAGUCUUUGUCUUUCUUUCUCUGUAAAAAAUAAAGAAAGACUCGUCUUUCUUAUUCUCUGCACGUUAAGGCCAUCAAUUUAGAUUGUUGUUAGUGUAUGCGUGUGCAGAAAUAUGCUGUUGCAGACAUCAGUUUCAUUGUUUUAUAUGUUGUUGUCUCAGAAGUGAGUAAGUAAAUAUUCUCUCAGAUCUGAGUGUGUAAGAGUUCUCCUCGUGACUGCUCUUAUGUACAAUACAAAAUAUUCAUGUAUCCACUGUGAAAUUUGGAUGUGUCUCUUUCUGUGUCUUAAAGUCCCUUUUGCACCACGAUGUCAGUCUAUAAAAAAGCUGAUCACACUCAGUGCUUGUGAGAUUUUUUUUCACACACCUAAUACGUCUGACUGAUGAGCUUAUUAGAGAUGGAAAAGCAACCCAAAAAUGGAAUUUGAACUCGAUUUGGGAGUUGAUAUGCCCUCAUCAGUAGAACAUAUUUGCGCAUAGAAGCAUUCAGUGUUUUAUACUCUUAUUUACCUUGGGUAUUUAGG
This 1557-nucleotide long non-coding RNA is filed under the name Populus trichocarpa (black cottonwood). Its description in RNAcentral is "long non-coding RNA (PTRI_LNC002556)". The record is from RNAcentral. Lineage: Eukaryota; Viridiplantae; Streptophyta; Magnoliopsida; Malpighiales; Salicaceae.